UUUGAAAGAGAGUUAAAGAGUACCUGAAACUGCUGAAAGGGAAGCGAAUCGUAUCCAGUGUCUAUAAUCUGUGGCAUAUUUCAUUGGCGGCUUUGUGCGUGCUAUUGUUUCGGAAGCGGCUUUUGUUGCUCUGUGCUUUGGUGUUGUGCGUUGCUGCUGAUGCCCUGUGUUGCGGUGGGACGUCUCAGUCAGUUCGUAUGCUGCGGGAAAUGGCUGCCGAGGAGGUAGGUCAGGAUUUCGGUCUUGGCUGUUAUAUCUUGGUGGUUUGUUGUCGUGGUUGGGACUGAUGUGCCUACCAUGUGCUUUUGAGUGUACUGGGUUCUCAUUUGGUGGACUGUUUGGAUAGCUUGCUAUGCUUGUGGUUUUUU
RNAcentral lists this ribosomal RNA (368 nucleotides) under uncultured Oomycota. Its description in RNAcentral is "eukaryotic LSU rRNA". Lineage: Eukaryota; Oomycota. The record is from RNAcentral.